AUACGAGGGGUGCAAGCGUUAAUCGGAAUUACUGGGCGUAAAGCGUUCGUAGGCGGUUUGUUAAGCAAGAUGUGAAAGCCCUGGGCUCAACCUGGGAACUGCAUUUUGAACUGGCAAGCUCGAAUACUGUAGAGGGUGGUGGAAUUUCCAGUGUAGCGGUGAAAUGCGUAGAGAUUGGAAGGAACAUCAGUGGCGAAGGCGGCCACCUGGACAGAUAUUGACGCUGAGGAACGAAAGCGUGAGGAGCGAACAGGAUUAGAAACCCCAGUAGUCC
RNAcentral lists this ribosomal RNA (274 nucleotides) under uncultured bacterium. RNAcentral's name for it is "partial 16S ribosomal RNA". It matches the Rfam family "Bacterial small subunit ribosomal RNA", at positions 523 to 796 of the family's 1533-position model. The record is from RNAcentral.